CUCCUGCUUCUGAUAUCAUACAUGAGAGGAACUCGCUCAUGAAAACAAUUGAUAGAAGUAGCAAUGGAAAAACGCUGAUCAACUCAGGCAAAUGCAAAAAUAGUACAAAGCUUCAUUUGCCUCGUCAAUCUCCAGAACAAUUUUCAGAGCUUGAAAGUGAACCAAUGGGCAGCUCAAUCUCCAAUGUGCGUGCUUUUAAAAUGACAGGUAGAACAGCUAAACAAUCUAGUAAAGAUGAAGCUGUUCUGGAUGUGGUUUCUCUGGACAAGUUUGCAGUGGGAGCUUCUCAGCAGCUCAAGGCUGCGCCAGAAGUGGCACACGCACAUUAUUGUUCCCCAAACGUAACAACUACACCUCAAAUUGAGCCAUCAAAUAAGAGGAUAAAGCACCUUGAUGACUGCACUGCAACUGAAGAGCAUUCACAGAAGUUGGAAAUUGAGAAGAAUGGCAACAUGCCAGAGUUACAGCCAAACUUUUCCUUUGGGGAUUAUUGGUCAGACCCAUGCUUUGAAUUUGCAUUCAAGACUCUUACAGGUGCAUUACCAAUAGAUGAUAAUUUGCCAGUUCAGAGUUACUUCCAGCAACAAGUAGACACUUCUCAAACCCAGAAGGGGGUUUACUUCCAGCAACAAGUUGACGCUUCUCAAAACCAGAGGGAGGAUUACUUCCAGCAACAAGUUGACACUUCUCAAACCCUGAGGGAAAGUUACUUUCAGCAACCAGUUGACGCUUCUCAGACCCUGAAGGAUGGUAGUUUGGCACUUCCUGAUUUUGGCUUACCCAGCUUUUUUCAAACUGAUAUAUCAGUUCACUUUGAUGCUCCGGAGAAGCAACUUGCUUCCCAGACACAAGUACCCUUGAAUAGUCCUUCCUUCGUGCCGUCAGGAAGUGUGAGCUUACCAAGUUGCAGUAGCGUUGGUUCUCAACAACCGCCACACUUGAAGGAGAAUAAGGGACUGCGUGGGAGGGUGAACUCCUAGAGUCAAGGUAAUUGUUACCAGUUUAGGUAUUAUAAUUAUCUGUGAUAAUACGCAGCCUUUUUCAACAAUAACCUUUGUGGUUGUAUUUUAGCUUUUGUAAUAUGAUAUUGACUAUAAUUUGAACCGUUGUAAAAUAGUCUUUCAACUUUGGUAGUUUGUUCAGAAGAUGUAGGGGCGACAACUGUGCGAAAGUUUUCCCAAAUGCAAUAUGUUCAUGUUGUACUUUCUUCCAUUUUUCACGGCAAUGAAUAGAAAACGAAGUUCUUUUUUUUUUUU
This 1256-nucleotide unclassified non-coding RNA is filed under the name Hevea brasiliensis (rubber tree). Lineage: Eukaryota; Viridiplantae; Streptophyta; Magnoliopsida; Malpighiales; Euphorbiaceae. The record is from RNAcentral.